This 113-nucleotide ribosomal RNA is filed under the name uncultured eukaryote. Its description in RNAcentral is "partial small subunit ribosomal RNA". The record is from RNAcentral.
UCGCUACUACCGAUUGAACGUCUUAGUGAAUUUUAAGGAUACUUGUCUUCAGAAGGGCUUCCUACUGCUGACAUGGUAAAAUUAAUGUUAACUUGAACGUUUAGAGGAAGUAA